UCAACGGAGAGUUUGAUCCUGGCUCAGGACGAACGCUGGCGGCGUGCUUAACACAUGCAAGUCGAACGGUGAUCUCGAAGCUUGCUUCGGGUGAGCAGUGGCGAACGGGUGAGUAACACGUGAGUAACCUGCCCCUGACUCUGGAAUAAGCGCUGGAAACGGCGUCUAAUACCGGAUAUGACACUAAACCGCAUGGUUAUGGUGUGGAAAGUUUUUCGGUCUGGGAUGGACUCGCGGCCUAUCAGCUUGUUGGUGAGGUAAUGGCUCACCAAGGCGAUGACGGGUAGCCGGCCUGAGAGGGCGAUCGGCCACACUGGGACUGAGACACGGCCCAGACUCCUACGGGAGGCAGCAGUGGGGAAUAUUGCACAAUGGGCGAAAGCCUGAUGCAGCGACGCCGCGUGAGGGAUGACGGCCUUCGGGUUGUAAACCUCUUUCAGCAGGGAAGAAGCGCAAGUGACGGUACCUGCAGAAGAAGCACCGGCUAACUACGUGCCAGCAGCCGCGGUAAUACGUAGGGUGCGAGCGUUGUCCGGAAUUAUUGGGCGUAAAGAGCUUGUAGGCGGUUUGUCGCGUCUGCCGUGAAAAUCCGGGGCUCAACCCCGGACUUGCGGUGGGUACGGGCAGACUAGAGUGUGGUAGGGGAGACUGGAAUUCCUGGUGUAGCGGUGAAAUGCGCAGAUAUCAGGAGGAACACCGAUGGCGAAGGCAGGUCUCUGGGCCACUACUGACGCUGAGAAGCGAAAGCAUGGGGAGCGAACAGGAUUAGAUACCCUGGUAGUCCAUGCCGUAAACGUUGGGAACUAGGUGUGGG
RNAcentral lists this non-coding RNA (814 nucleotides) under Janibacter sp. HTCC2649. RNAcentral describes it as "Bacterial small subunit ribosomal RNA". It matches the Rfam family "Bacterial small subunit ribosomal RNA", at positions 1 to 826 of the family's 1533-position model. The record is from Rfam by way of RNAcentral. Lineage: Bacteria; Bacillati; Actinomycetota; Actinomycetes; Micrococcales; Intrasporangiaceae.